RNAcentral lists this ribosomal RNA (253 nucleotides) under uncultured bacterium. Its description in RNAcentral is "partial 16S ribosomal RNA". It matches the Rfam family "Bacterial small subunit ribosomal RNA", at positions 524 to 776 of the family's 1533-position model. The record is from RNAcentral.
UACGGAGGGUGCAAGCAUUAAUCGGAUUUAUUGGGCGUAAAGGGCGCGUAGGCGGUUGUGAAAGUCAGAUGUGAAAUCCCGGGGCUCACCCCCGGAACAGCAUUUGAAACUCCAUGACUAGAGGGUAGGCGGAGAAAACGGAAUUCCACAAGUAGCGGUGAAAUGCGUAGAUAUGUGGAAGAACACCAGUGGCGAAGGCGGUUUUCUAGCUUAUUCCUGACGCUGAGGCGCGAAAGCAAGGGGAUCAAACAGG